GGCGUAAGCGCGCGUAGGCCGUUGAGUUAGUUAAUUGUGAAAUCCCAAAGCUUAACUUUGGAACUGCAAUUAAAACUGCUCGACUAGAGUUUGAUAGAGGAAAGCGGAAUACAUAGUGUAGAGGUGAAAUUCGUAGAUAUUAUGUAGAACACCAGUUGCGAAGGCGGCUUUCUGGAUCAACACUGACGCUGAGGCGCGAAAGUAUGGGUAGCAAAGAGGAUUAGAUACCCUCGUAGUCCAUACCAUAAACGAUGAUUGCUAGAUGUUGGAAAUUUAUUUUCAGUAUCGCAGCUAACGCAUUAAGCAAUCCGCCUGGGGAGUACGACCGCAAGGUUAAAACUCAAAUGAAUUGACGGGGACCCGCACAAGCGGUGGAGCAUGUGGUUUAAUUCGAAGAUACGCGCAGAACCUUACCAACCCUUGACAUGUCUGUCGCGAGUUUAGGAAACUAGACUUUUCGGUUCGGCCGGACAGAACACAGGUGCUGCAUGGCUGUCGUCAGCUCGUGUCGUGAGAUGUUGGGUUAAGUCCCGCAACGAGCGCAACCCCUACUUUUAGUUGCCAUCAGGUCAUGCUGGGCACUCUGAAAGAACUGCCAGUGAUAAGCUGGAGGAAGGUGGGGAUGACGUCAAGUCCUCAUG
Molecule: ribosomal RNA, 641 nt
Filed under: uncultured Pelagibacterales bacterium
Lineage: Bacteria; Pseudomonadati; Pseudomonadota; Alphaproteobacteria; Candidatus Pelagibacterales
Description: bacterial SSU rRNA
Rfam family: Bacterial small subunit ribosomal RNA
Source: RNAcentral